AGUUUUGAGAAGUCACCUCCCUUCAUACCCUGCCACAGCCAUAGAGAGAGACGACAACUUUGUAAAGAAGUGUAUCACUGUGGAGUUUGACUCUCCUGGGACAAAAGUUACAGUAGAUCCAAAUAACCCAACACCUUCUCAGCCUUCUCUUGUGAUUUUGAAGUCUGCAGACUCCAGUGGUUCAACUGCUUGUUUAGCAAGAGAUUUCUACCCUCCCGAACUGAAGAUGUCCAUGAAUACUGACAGCCCCGUUCUCUAUGAAACCAUUGAGCCUGUCCUCUCAUCCAGAAAAUACCAUGCCAUAAAGGUUGUCAACAUUACAUCGAACCAAGAUGUUCAUUGCUCAGUACAACACCACAACAAAAAGUUUAAUAAAAUUCUUGCUGCAGAGAGACUGCCAGCUUUAACAACUCCUGGACCUACCACAAGCUCAAUUGAGAUCUGCAGAACAUCAACUCCUAGCCCCCAAGAUGAAGAUAUGGAGAAAAUGAAUGCGCUGUCUAUCACUGUGUUGGGCUUGAGGGUGUUGCUAACGAAAAGCAUUGCCUUGAAUAUGCUCCUGGUCACUAGAUACCUUUAUUUCUGAGGUUGGACGAAGGGAGACAGCAAUGGUUUGAAGAAGAUACAAAUAAUUCAUUGGCUUUUAUUCUUUAUUAGAGCUGGUCAAAAAAUGAAAAUAAAAUCAAAAUUUCAAAGUUGAAAUUUUUGAAGGGUUCAAAAUGGAGCCAAUUUUUGUGUUUUCCAAAAAUCUUCACUGAAUUUUUAUAUAACAAAAUGUUGAAUUUUUAAUUGAAAAUAUUAUUGAAAUCAUUAUCAAACUUUUCAGUCUACCAAAAAUCUGCU
Molecule: non-coding RNA, 843 nt
Organism: Caretta caretta (loggerhead turtle)
Lineage: Eukaryota; Metazoa; Chordata; Testudines; Cheloniidae
Source: RefSeq, a predicted model, not a curated record